Molecule: ribosomal RNA, 254 nt
Filed under: uncultured bacterium
Lineage: Bacteria
Description: partial 16S ribosomal RNA
Rfam family: Bacterial small subunit ribosomal RNA
Source: RNAcentral
UACGAAGGGGGGCUAGCGUUGUUCGGAAUUACUGGGCGUAAAGCGCACGUAGGCGGCUUUGUAAGUUAGAGGUGAAAGCCCCGGGCUUAACCUGGGAACUGCGUUUGAUACGGAUGGGCUAGAGUUCGGGAGAGGAGAGUGGAAUUCCCAGUGUAGAGGUGAAAUUCGUAGAUAUUGGGAAGAACACCGGUGGCGAAGGCGGCUCUCUGGACCGAGACUGACGCUGAGGCGCGAAAGCGUGGGGAGCAAACAGG